Long non-coding RNA from Bufo bufo (common toad), 117 nucleotides. RefSeq lists it as uncharacterized. NCBI's taxonomy places the organism in Eukaryota, Metazoa, Chordata, Amphibia, Anura, Bufonidae. The record is from RefSeq and is a predicted model, not a curated record. The transcript has 3 exons.
CUCACUGUGACCUCCUGCGUCGGAUCUUGCGAGAUGACGCGGCGCGGGAAGGCACAGUGAGCGAGGCAUUGGUGACCGCCUGUACCAGGAUGCCACAAGCUGCUAAGCCCCGACGAC